UGUGUAUUAGCCCUUAUUCUUUUUACAGAUGAAAAAGAAAGACAUGCCUUUUUUUAUUUUUCGAGUUACGCAUGAAUUUGACAAUAAGUUUUAGAUGGAAUGCUUCUUUCUCUCGUGACUUUAUCAAUUUUUGUCCAACAAAGAGUGUUAGGUGGACUGGCAUGGAAGAAAGGCUUGUGGGAGACUCUAGCAAAAGAGGCAUCUACUUGCUUAAAAUGCAAGAGGGCUACCUAUAUGUCAAAACAUGAAACCUUCCAAUGUGUUCCUUUUACCACCAAGUUACGUGCCAAAUGAUGGCGAAAGAAUUGAAACAUGUCUUGAAGAAGAAGCCAAUGGGAAAGGUAAAAUGGGUACUAAGCUAUUUUGUGGUGAUCAAAGUGUGAGAUGCACAGCUGAUUGGUGGAGUGGCUUCUUCUUGUGCAAGGAAGAAAAGGACAGUGCACCAGCAACAAAUGUUAAUUCAUGAAUGGCCAAUUAUGGAAUUUAAAACGUCCCAAAAUUAUAAACAGUGACCUUGCAAAAUCUUCACCCUUGUCUAAGAAAAGCCUAGAUGUUUCCUCUUUAUCUCCCUCCACUUUACUUCAUCUGCAUGAGCUAGUUAGCCACUUCUUCACCAAAUGGGGUGGCUGCAAUCCCUCCUCUCUCCACUCAAGAAGUUCUGGCUCCGCUUGAAUUCAACUCAAAAGAAGAGAAGAGGGAUUUACAUUCUGUAUGAAGAUGUUAAAUCUUGCCCCUAUGAAGACGUGCACGUCCUCUGGUCAAUACUAGUGGAAUCACAUUCACCUUCUUUGCCAUCCAAGAAAUGAAGGCCAUGGGCACAAUACAGAAAUGAGAAGAGGCUCAUCAUAAUGUAAAUAAAAUAUAUUUAUAAUGUCCAUACAAUAGAGUGUUUUCAUCUUCUUUUACUUUUUUCUCUUAACUUUUGUAGCACCGUUAGCGUAGAGUGACUCUCAGCUUUUGAUUUAGAAGCAUUAUUAGUUGUGUGUUUGAAUCGACGGUGAGACUCAAAAUCAUGAUUACACCAUGAAAAAUUGGAAGCAGCUCUGUGUUGCUUUGUCUUCAAAGUGAAAAAUAUGAAUUGAUUUUAGCAAGAGUGAAGCCAAACUAAAUAUACUAUAAGUUCUUAUAUGAAAAUCCAUUUAUCUUUA
Molecule: long non-coding RNA, 1148 nt
Organism: Cajanus cajan (pigeon pea)
Lineage: Eukaryota; Viridiplantae; Streptophyta; Magnoliopsida; Fabales; Fabaceae
Source: RefSeq, a predicted model, not a curated record